Non-coding RNA from Phthorimaea operculella (potato tuberworm), 76 nucleotides. NCBI's taxonomy places the organism in Eukaryota, Metazoa, Arthropoda, Insecta, Lepidoptera, Gelechiidae. The record is from the annotation of a GenBank genome assembly.
ACCGCGGUAGCCCAGUUGGUUAGGGCGUCGGCAGUACUGAUGACGAAGGUCGCAGGUUCAAAUCCUGCCUGCGGUG